GCCAACAAAGGCUCAGCCACCUCAGCUGUGCCUCUGCGCUUGCGGGCGGCUCACCAGCCACCCUCUGAAGCAGAUCAUGCCAUCCUUUCUUUUUUAAAACCCAUGUCAUCAGCAGAUCAUAAUGGAAAUCAAUCUCCUCAAACCAUCAUGCAAAGGCAAAGGCGUAUCCAUAGCAACCCCAAAAGGAAGGACACAGAGAUGCUCCAGUGACUGCAGCAAAAAAAAAAAAAAAAAAAAAAAAAAAAAGGUUAUCCUUAUCUGUUGAAAUACAGUAUAAGUUAGGCUUUGACAGCACAGUAGGCUAAGAACGCCAAUUUCUAACACAGUUCUUUCAUUCUCAGUACCUUAAGUACACCAGGGUAACAAGGGGCCAGCAGCCGCUUGCAGCUCUCUGCGCUGCUGUAAAUGGAUUUCAGCCUAAAGAUCUGACUCUUUGAAAACAGCAAUUUCACAUCUGUGUGCUUUAGCUGUCGUCCAGCCCACAGAGACGAGAGGUGUGUGUACAAGACGACUACACAAGGCUCAUUUUGUAAGCCUAGGUGGACCCCAGGACAAGGCGUACUCACACAUCAAACGCAUUUCCAGACCCCCCCGCCACGUUUGAACCCUCUAGGAUUGAUUAAUUUUUGUCUUCGUUUAACACAAAUUUCUAAACACCUGCCCACAGAAAGCCUGAGCUCGGUACGGUGUCACAGCAAGCAGGGCCCCCCUCGCAAAUCUGAAGGAGAGUGGGCAAGCCU
RNAcentral lists this long non-coding RNA (740 nucleotides) under Mus pahari (shrew mouse). Its description in RNAcentral is "lncRNA (MGP_PahariEiJ_G0002951.1)". The record is from RNAcentral. Lineage: Eukaryota; Metazoa; Chordata; Mammalia; Rodentia; Muridae.